RNAcentral lists this ribosomal RNA (563 nucleotides) under Enterobacter sp. Its description in RNAcentral is "bacterial SSU rRNA". It matches the Rfam family "Bacterial small subunit ribosomal RNA", at positions 94 to 653 of the family's 1533-position model. Lineage: Bacteria; Pseudomonadati; Pseudomonadota; Gammaproteobacteria; Enterobacterales; Enterobacteriaceae. The record is from RNAcentral.
AGUGGCGGACCCCUGAGUAAUGUCUGGGAAACUGCCCGAUGGAGGGGGAUAACUACUGGAAACGGUAGCUAAUACCGCAUAACGUCUUCGGACCAAAGUGGGGGACCUUCGGGCCUCACACCAUCGGAUGUGCCCAGAUGGGAUUAGCUAGUAGGUGGGGUAAUGGCUCACCUAGGCGACGAUCCCUAGCUGGUCUGAGAGGAUGACCAGCCACACUGGAACUGAGACACGGUCCAGACUCCUACGGGAGGCAGCAGUGGGGAAUAUUGCACAAUGGGCGCAAGCCUGAUGCAGCCAUGCCGCGUGUAUGAAGAAGGCCUUCGGGUUGUAAAGUACUUUCAGCGGGGAGGAAGGCGAUGGAGUUAAUAGCUUCAUCGAUUGACGUUACCCGCAGAAGAAGCACCGGCUAACUCCGUGCCAGCAGCCGCGGUAAUACGGAGGGUGCAAGCGUUAAUCGGAAUUACUGGGCGUAAAGCGCACGCAGGCGGUCUGUCAAGUCGGAUGUGAAAUCCCCGGGCUUAACCUGGGAACUGCAUUCGAAACUGGCAGGCUAGAGUCUUGUA